UGGACACUGGACGGCCUACCUGACGAGGAAUAUUUAUUAUGGGAAGCGGAAGCUAUUCGGGUUCAUAAACAAGCAAAAGCAAAGCAACACAAAGGCUCAACAUCAAACUCACAAAGCAUAGAAGACCCUACAAGCAACAAGUGCUACAAUCCAAUUUCAGCACCAAACAACAAGCCAACAAUGCAUGCAGUACCAACCCCACAAGCAGCGGGAAUAACUGCUGCUGCAUCAGUAGAGGGUGAUUCUUCUAUCACACCUUUGUGUGUUCCUCCACCGAGAAGAGCAUUCAAAUUGGGUGCAGCAUUGCAAUCCCCGUACGUUCCGAUUGAGCCAAGGAGAAUGCCCUUCAAGUGCAGCAAGGAAGUGUGCAAGGUAUAUGAUGCCGUUUGCAUGUUUGCUAGAAGGUCCACCAGGUCGAAGAGCAACGAGCAACCCAUAAUAAACUACAUUUUCAACUUCGCUUCAUUGGGCCAUCUUGCGGACUCAGUUAAACCAGGUGGGAUGCUAAAGAAUACUGUCGCAGAGAUCGGCAUCUAUGUCAUUAA
This is a long non-coding RNA of Panicum virgatum (switchgrass), 545 nucleotides long. RefSeq lists it as uncharacterized. The transcript has 2 exons. The record is from RefSeq and is a predicted model, not a curated record. Lineage: Eukaryota; Viridiplantae; Streptophyta; Magnoliopsida; Poales; Poaceae.